GUAAUCUGUGUACGCACGAGUUGGAUCUUACGUAGACUGGGUAAAAGGCAAAAUGAGCGGUGAUGUGGGUGGUGGAAAAUCAAGUCGAGGGAAGCUGCAAGGAUGGACUUUCCUUCUUACUGGGCAGUGAAGAAUAAAUUGAUAUGAAAA
Long non-coding RNA from Stylophora pistillata, 150 nucleotides. The record is from RefSeq and is a predicted model, not a curated record. Lineage: Eukaryota; Metazoa; Cnidaria; Anthozoa; Scleractinia; Pocilloporidae.